CCUACGGGGUGCAGCAGUGGGGAAUAUUGGGCAAUGGGCGCAAGCCUGACCCAGCAACGCCGCGUGAAGGAAGAAGGCUUUCGGGUUGUAAACUUCUUUUAUGAGGGACGAAAGAAAUGACGGUACCUCAUGAAUAAGCCACGGCUAACUACGUGCCAGCAGCCGCGGUAAUACGUAGGUGGCAAGCGUUAUCCGGAUUUACUGGGUGUAAAGGGCGUGUAGGCGGGACUGCAAGUCAGAUGUGAAAUCCUGCGGCUUAACCGCAGAACUGCAUUUGAAACUGUUGAUCUUGAGUACUGGAGAGGCAGACGGAAUUCCUAGUGUAGCGGUGAAAUGCGUAGAUAUUAGGAGGAACACCAGUGGCGAAGGCGGUCUGCUGGACAGCAACUGACGGUGAGGCGCGAAAGCGUGGGGAGCAAACAGGAUUAGAUACCCGUGUAGUC
This 443-nucleotide ribosomal RNA is filed under the name uncultured bacterium. Its description in RNAcentral is "partial 16S ribosomal RNA". It matches the Rfam family "Bacterial small subunit ribosomal RNA", at positions 338 to 795 of the family's 1533-position model. The record is from RNAcentral.